AGGACUAACGCUGGCGGCGUGCCUAACACAUGCAAGUCGAACGAGAGUAGCAAUACUCUAGUGGCAGACGGGUGAGUAACACGUGGUCAACCUUCCCUAGCGUGGGGGAUAACUAGCCGAAAGGUUAGCUAAUACCGCAUGACAUCGUCGAGUGGCAUCAUUUGACGAUCAAAGGAGCAAUCCGCGCAAGGACGGGACCGCGUCCCAUUAGCUAGUUGGUGAGGUAACGGCCCACCAAGGCUUCGAUGGGUAGCUGGUUUGAGAGAGCGACCAGCCACACUGGGACUGAGACACGGCCCAGACUCCUACGGGAGGCAGCAGUGAGGAAUUUUCCGCAAUGGGCGAAAGCCUGACGGAGCGACGUCGCGUGUGGGAAGAAGGCCUUCGGGUCGUAACCACUGUCGAAGGGGAAGAUAUUGACGGUACCCUUGGAGGAAGCCCCGGCUAACUACGUGCCAGCAGCCGC
RNAcentral lists this ribosomal RNA (466 nucleotides) under uncultured bacterium. RNAcentral's name for it is "SSU rRNA". It matches the Rfam family "Bacterial small subunit ribosomal RNA", at positions 26 to 518 of the family's 1533-position model. The record is from RNAcentral.